AUUUAUCUAAUAUAAAAAGUAUAUUUGACUUCCAAUCAAAAAGUUUGUACAACAAGAUAAAUA
RNAcentral lists this transfer RNA (63 nucleotides) under Perisphaerus sp. 3 ZQW-2023b. RNAcentral describes it as "tRNA-Gly". The record is from RNAcentral. Lineage: Eukaryota; Metazoa; Arthropoda; Insecta; Blattodea; Blaberidae.